RNAcentral lists this ribosomal RNA (537 nucleotides) under uncultured beta proteobacterium. Its description in RNAcentral is "bacterial SSU rRNA". It matches the Rfam family "Bacterial small subunit ribosomal RNA", at positions 389 to 917 of the family's 1533-position model. Lineage: Bacteria; Pseudomonadati; Pseudomonadota; Betaproteobacteria. The record is from RNAcentral.
CAGCGAUGCCGCGUGCAGGAUGAAGGCCUUCGGGAUUGUAAACUGCAUUUUGUACGGAACGAAACGGUGAGCUCUAAUACAGUUUGCUAAUGACGGUACCGUAAGAAUAAGCACCGGCUAACUACGUGCCAGCAGCCGCGGUAAUACGUAGGGUGCGAGCGUUAAUCGGAAUUACUGGGCGUAAAGCGUGCGCAGGCGGUGAUGUAAGACAGAUGUGAAAUCCCCGGGCUCAACCUGGGACCUGCAUUUGUGACUGCAUCGCUAGAGUACGGUAGAGGGGGAUGGAAUUCCGCGUGUAGCAGUGAAAUGCGUAGAUAUGCGGAGGAACACCGAUGGCGAAGGCAAUCCCCUGGACCUGUACUGACGCUCAUGCACGAAAGCGUGGGGAGCAAACAGGAUUAGAUACCCUGGUAGUCCACGCCCUAAACGAUGUCAACUGGUUGUUGGGUCUUCACUGACUCAGUAACGAAGCUAACGCGUGAAGUUGACCGCCUGGGGAGUACGGCCGCAAGGUUGAAACUCAAAUGAAUUGACGGG